UUGCACAAGAGGUUAUAAAAGCUCCCAAUAUUGAUUUCCAUUCAUCUUUGUCAGCUGAGAUUGUUUACAUUCAGUUGAUAUUAAUGGGUGGUAAAUUA
Molecule: small nucleolar RNA, 98 nt
Organism: Hevea brasiliensis (rubber tree)
Lineage: Eukaryota; Viridiplantae; Streptophyta; Magnoliopsida; Malpighiales; Euphorbiaceae
Product: small nucleolar RNA snoR99
Exons: 1
Source: RefSeq, a predicted model, not a curated record